RNAcentral lists this ribosomal RNA (1168 nucleotides) under Yersinia enterocolitica. RNAcentral describes it as "partial 23S ribosomal RNA". It matches the Rfam family "Bacterial large subunit ribosomal RNA", at positions 208 to 1315 of the family's 2925-position model. Lineage: Bacteria; Pseudomonadati; Pseudomonadota; Gammaproteobacteria; Enterobacterales; Yersiniaceae. The record is from RNAcentral.
ACCCCGAGGAAAAGAAAUCAACCGAGAUUCCCCCAGUAGCGGCGAGCGAACGGGGAGGAGCCCAGAACCUGAAUCAGCGUAUGUGUUAGUGGAAGCGUCUGGAAAGUCGCACGGUACAGGGUGAUAGUCCCGUACACAAAAAUGCAUAUGUUGUGAGUUCGAUGAGUAGGGCGGGACACGUGACAUCCUGUCUGAAUAUGGGGGGACCAUCCUCCAAGGCUAAAUACUCCUGACUGACCGAUAGUGAACCAGUACCGUGAGGGAAAGGCGAAAAGAACCCCGGCGAGGGGAGUGAAACAGAACCUGAAACCGUGUACGUACAAGCAGUGGGAGCACCUUCGUGGUGUGACUGCGUACCUUUUGUAUAAUGGGUCAGCGACUUAUAUUUUGUAGCAAGGUUAACCGAAUAGGGGAGCCGUAGGGAAACCGAGUCUUAACUGGGCGAAUAGUUGCAAGGUAUAGACCCGAAACCCGGUGAUCUAGCCAUGGGCAGGUUGAAGGUUGGGUAACACUAACUGGAGGACCGAACCGACUAAUGUUGAAAAAUUAGCGGAUGACUUGUGGCUGGGGGUGAAAGGCCAAUCAAACCGGGAGAUAGCUGGUUCUCCCCGAAAGCUAUUUAGGUAGCGCCUCGUGAACUCAUCUUCGGGGGUAGAGCACUGUUUCGGCUAGGGGGUCAUCCCGACUUACCAAACCGAUGCAAACUCCGAAUACCGAAGAAUGUUAUCACGGGAGACACACGGCGGGUGCUAACGUCCGUCGUGAAGAGGGAAACAACCCAGACCGCCAGCUAAGGUCCCAAAGUCAUGGUUAAGUGGGAAACGAUGUGGGAAGGCACAGACAGCCAGGAUGUUGGCUUAGAAGCAGCCAUCAUUUAAAGAAAGCGUAAUAGCUCACUGGUCGAGUCGGCCUGCGCGGAAGAUGUAACGGGGCUAAACCAUGCACCGAAGCUGCGGCAGCGAACGUAUCACUUAAAACGCUUAACGUGACGGCAAAGCCGGCAUGUUCAAGCCACACUAAACGUUGAGUUGGCCGGUGUGCUGACAAACGAACAGGCGUUUUAAGGAUACGUUCGUUGGGUAGGGGAGCGUUCUGUAAGCCGUUGAAGGUGGUCUGUGAGGGCUGCUGGAGGUAUCAGAAGUGCGAAUGCUGACAUAAGUAACGAUAA